RNAcentral lists this long non-coding RNA (3339 nucleotides) under Malus domestica (apple). RNAcentral's name for it is "long non-coding RNA (MDOM_LNC015900)". Lineage: Eukaryota; Viridiplantae; Streptophyta; Magnoliopsida; Rosales; Rosaceae. The record is from RNAcentral.
UUCCUCUUACACGCAUGUUGAGUGCAAAACGGCAUAACAAUGAUGAUAAAAACAUUUUUAGCUCUCCCAUGGACCAGAACUGAGAGGUCCAAGACUUGAAAACCCCCAUUCAAAGAGACAAUGUAGUCUAAUUUCUUUUCAAUCACAAUCCCAACAAAGAUAAAACAACGGUUAAAGAACAGGCUCAGAAAUACGACAAAAUUCAAUUACAUUAAUCUAAGGAUUGAAUUGCAAACUGCAGCAUUGCCAUGUAAUGGGUAGAAAAAUUUGUACCUAGUUCAUCCUUCAAUUGCGAUAAGCUCCACACCAACCCUUUUGAACAACGGUUUCACCACAGUUGAGUACCUUCAAACCCAAUUUUCAAAACAAAUAAUUCUAUUUAUGAAAAAUUUGAACUCAUUUAUGCCACACAAAAAUAUAAAUUUCACCAAAAACAACCUGCAAAGCUUUAUACUUGAUCAUAUUUCACCAAAAACUUCUCCAAAAAUAUAAAUUUUCCCCCAAGACAAACAGAAACCAAAAACAUUCUAUGAAAGUAAAGUAAGCCAUCUAGAUGUGUGCACUUACAUAAGCAUCCAUCGUUUAUUAAAUUAAACGCAAAUAACAUAUAUGAAUUUCACUAAAAGAUAUAAACUGAACAAUUCCACCAAACUUCAACCCAAACUGGAAUAGUUUCUAUUUAGUUUAGUUUAUUCAAACUUACUCUGUACUCAAGACUAUUAAGCAAUUGAGGUGUACAUCAACACCAAAAUAGAAACUGUACCAAGGUCUACCCAGUUGUACAUGUAUGCAUAAUUCAAGUUCAAACUCUCAUGUGGAAAAAAAUAGCAAAGAAUUGUAAUAUGAAAAUUCAACUAAGUUUUGCAAAGCAUACCAAACCAAUCCCAAGUACCUUGAAACACAACGUUGCUGAUAUCAUGAAAUGAAGAUGGCAUCACUUUGAAACCCUUAUCCACACCAUAGAGGGGAAUGGACUCCAUAGAAGAACUUGCGAGCUGCCAUUAAUACCAUAUUUAUUAGCAUAUUUCAAUCUUUUUACCCAUAACAACAUUUACUAAGAAGAUUGAAUAAAGCUCAAUGAGAAUAUGAAGAAGCAAAAAUACUCUGCGUAUGUUUUAUAACACAAAAAGAUUGCCUUUUUCAUUAGGAAGUUUAACUCUAUAGUUCAAACAUUGUCUCACAUAUUGAAUUGAAUAAUUGCUACUCACCACUCCUAUCAUACCUUCAUAGCUGAAAUACAAUUGAGGAGGCUGACUUUCUAUGAAAUUCUUUUGUAUACGACAAUUACCCAAUUACUGCCCUCAUAUGUAUUUAAGGUCAACAAUUCGACAAAGUGACUCAGGACUAAUAAUAUAGCAUUUUUUAAAUGUACUAAAGUUGUAAGAAUGUAAGUCUGUAGUGAUAUAUAACAAUGGAAUUAGCCAACAUGCAUAUUGUUAGAAUUAAGAGCACCCAAGAGUACGUCCCAUGACAUACCAUGACUGGAUAACCUGCACAAAUAUUAGCUCCUUUACUAUUCCAGUUCCCACCUAUAACCAUGAAGUUAAUGAUCAUAUUCAUAUGUAACUUGGAACCCUCCUUUUUUUAAUUUUAUUUUUCUCUUUUAACUACCCCAAAUUUUCCUAAAGAUAGAAAGAAAACAGAAACCAAUUUGCCUUUUGGUGGAGAAUUCCUAGUAGGCAAAAGGUUGAGUCAAAUCAAAUAAAAUAUAAGAAACAUUUAGGUUGCAUCCAUUAUAUAAUUGAAACAUAAACCAUAAGACAAAAGGAAAAUACCCCUUUUUUCUUCUUCUUUUUCUUCUUUUUUUCUAAAAAUCCAUCAGCAUGAGCUACUAUUGUCAACCUUUAACGCCAUAAGAUUCAUUCUGUUCAACAUCCCCCCACGGUUUAGAGAAAUUUAAUGAAGUUGUAUUAAAAAGGAGUUCUGAAAUGUAUACAAUCUUUCACUCUUUUUUCGUUGUUCACUAAUGGUAGCGAAUUUGUUGAUAAGCUACAGUAUAUUUUAACCUGCCAUUCAAGUUCUUUGGAACAUGAUAUGAUAACUAACACAUUAAGGGCUUAAGUCAUUUGUUGAAACAAAACAUUAUUCAAUAUGUUUUUGAAAAAAAAAAGAAAAAAGACACUCACACAUUGACAUACUAAAAAACAACACUAAAGAAAAUAUAUCUCACAGAAUUAAAUAGCAUGAAAUAUUGGUAAAGUUAAAUCAGACCUGACCAGAAAAAAUAUAUAUAUCAUACCUGAUCCAUCCCCGGCCAAAAACCUGUUGGAUUUGUGACCAAGUGGACAACAAGCCAAAAUACCUUUCGGCUAAUAAAAUAGAAUAAGGAAAAGGGGGACAUCAUUAUGAUGUCUAGCCCUUGAUUUGUGGCUUUUACAAAGGCAAAGAAUAUGUGGCCUUGUGUGAUGAGUGCAGCCGAAAGAGAGAAAAGGAGAGAGAGAAGGCGGGGCCUUUUGUUUAUAUUAAGGCAUUUGGUUAUGCCUUUGGUUGUGGGGGAGCGGCAGAUGAGAGAAACCAGGGAGAGCAUUCGGCUCUCCCAUUUGAAUAUGAGCUGCUCCUUCCCACCAUUUGUAAUAAUCCCAUUUUGUUAGUAAUCACUCAAUCAAAGAUGUUGGUGCUACUUGUGUAGCUUUUGGGAGAGAAGGAUUUUGAUAUGUGUUCUUCUUCUCCAUUUGUUUCUUAGUUUGAGUGAGAGCUAUUGGUUGUAUGUGGGAUUUGGGUUUGAGAGUUAAAACUCUAUUUGUAAUCUCCUUUUGAUAUUAGUGGAAUUUCCUCGCCGUCUUGGAACUGGAUGUAGGCUUACGCCGAACCAGUAUAAAUCCUUGUGUCUUUUGGAUUAUUUGUCUUGUCAUAUUUUGCCGUUGUAGCUUAUUGGUUUCAUAUUUGACGCUUCCGCACAACAAAACCUUCACAUCCUCAUCAUGAAACACAAAUAAGUCAGAUAAGUUUAAUUGCAAUUAUCUUCUAAACUCAUAUUACGAAAUAGAUAAUGAACAUCUCUAUUCAUGUUUGGUUGAUUAAAACCCAUACCUUUACCCUAAAUCUUCAUCGAGAAAACAAAGUAACUGAAAUUCUCUUUGUAACUUGCAAAUCACAAUUCUAACAAAAUUAAUGGAACCAUAAAAUGAAAUUACAAUUUAAUAAUUACCAGACUUAUCAAAAGUAACAGCCUCUUCUCAUCCCUUUGUUUUUCCUUCUGUAUCGAUGAAAUUGGUUUUGGAAGAGCCUCAUCCUUGUUAUCCUUUUGUCUCAACUGGAGUGCAUCCUCGUUAUCCUUUUGUCUUGACUGGAGUGCCUUGUGGAGAGCCUAAUGGACAACCACCAAAAUUAAUUUCUUCC